AGCGUUCCGUAUUCGUGCUGAGAUUUUGUCCCAUACCAGAUCACAAGGACUGAUGAAACUCCCUAGAUAGGUGAAGUG
This 78-nucleotide microRNA precursor is filed under the name Schistosoma margrebowiei. RNAcentral's name for it is "mir-3492 microRNA precursor family". It matches the Rfam family "mir-3492 microRNA precursor family". The record is from Rfam by way of RNAcentral. Lineage: Eukaryota; Metazoa; Platyhelminthes; Trematoda; Strigeidida; Schistosomatidae.